GGGGAGUGGAGUGUCAAGUCAGCAUGGCCUUUAUAUCCUGGGCUACACACACGCUACAAUGGCCAACACAAUAGGUUGCUAAGCCGCGAGGUGGCGCCAAUCCAUAAAGUUGGUCUCAGUUCAGAUUGUAGGCUGCAACCCGCCUGCAUGAAGAUGGAGUUGCUAGUAACCGCAGGUCAGCUAUACUGCGGUGAAUACGUUCCCGGGGCUU
Molecule: ribosomal RNA, 211 nt
Filed under: uncultured Leptolinea sp.
Lineage: Bacteria; Bacillati; Chloroflexota; Anaerolineae; Anaerolineales; Anaerolineaceae
Description: partial 16S ribosomal RNA
Rfam family: Bacterial small subunit ribosomal RNA
Source: RNAcentral